This 59-nucleotide transfer RNA is filed under the name Salmo salar (Atlantic salmon). It matches the Rfam family "tRNA", at positions 8 to 63 of the family's 71-position model. From Rfam's summary of the family: Transfer RNA (tRNA) molecules are approximately 80 nucleotides in length. Their secondary structure includes four short double-helical elements and three loops (D, anti-codon, and T loops). Lineage: Eukaryota; Metazoa; Chordata; Actinopteri; Salmoniformes; Salmonidae. The record is from Rfam by way of RNAcentral.
UAGCUCAGUUGUGUAGAGCGUGGUGUUUGCAACGCCAGGGUUGUGGGUUCGAUUCCCAC